This is a long non-coding RNA of Hirundo rustica (Barn swallow), 348 nucleotides long. RefSeq lists it as uncharacterized. The transcript has 3 exons. Lineage: Eukaryota; Metazoa; Chordata; Aves; Passeriformes; Hirundinidae. The record is from RefSeq and is a predicted model, not a curated record.
GUGAAAGUUUGUCUCUUUACAGCCAGAAGUUCAUGGAAAGCGUGCACAUAUGAAGAUCAUGAAGAACAUGAACUAAAUCUACAUUUAGGUGCUCUGAGAUGUCCACACGGCAGGAGUGCUCAGGCAUUUGGAGGGAACCCUGGAGAAGAAAGAAAACAGAACUCUACUUCUCCUCCUAAACAUCAUUUGGAGACAGAGAACUGCCCAGCACAUUGAUCUCUUCAUUAAAUUGAGGAUCUUUGUCAUCAUGGCGCUUGUGUGUGUUUGAUUGGAGAAUUUCCCGGCUUUAAUAUGAGCAGAGAAGAUCGUUUCUAGUAUGUUUUGUGGAAAAUAAAGUUCCUCAGGUUG